AUUGAACGCUGGCGGCAGGCCUAACACAUGCAAGUCGAGCGAGCGGCGGACGGGUGAGUACUGUCUGGGAAACUGCCUGAUGGAGGGGGAUCACUACUGGAAACGGUAGCUAAUACCGCAUCCCAUCCGCUGUGCCCAGAUGGGAUUAGCUAGUAGGUGGGGUAACGGCUCACCUAGGCGACGAUCCCUAGCUGGUCUGAGAGGAUGACCAGCCACACUGGAACUGAGACACGGUCCAGACUCCUACGGGAGGCAGCAGUAGGGAAUAUUGCACAAUGGGCGCAAGCCUGAUGGAGCCAUGCCGCGUGAGUGAAGAAGGCCUUCGGAUUGUAAAGCACUGUCGGCGGGGAGGCGUUACCCGCAGAAGAAGCACCGGCUAACUCCGUGCCAGCAGCCGCGGUAAUUC
This 406-nucleotide ribosomal RNA is filed under the name uncultured bacterium. RNAcentral describes it as "partial 16S ribosomal RNA". It matches the Rfam family "Bacterial small subunit ribosomal RNA", at positions 30 to 526 of the family's 1533-position model. The record is from RNAcentral.